This 422-nucleotide ribosomal RNA is filed under the name uncultured Mucilaginibacter sp. RNAcentral's name for it is "bacterial SSU rRNA". It matches the Rfam family "Bacterial small subunit ribosomal RNA", at positions 355 to 774 of the family's 1533-position model. The record is from RNAcentral. Lineage: Bacteria; Pseudomonadati; Bacteroidota; Sphingobacteriia; Sphingobacteriales; Sphingobacteriaceae.
UAAGGAAUAUUGGUCAAUGGACGGAAGUCUGAACCAGCCAUGCCGCGUGCAGGAAGACGGCCCUACGGGUUGUAAACUGCUUUUGUACGGGAAUAAACCCAGAUACGUGUAUCUGGCUGAAUGUACUGUAAGAAUAAGGAUCGGCUAACUCCGUGCCAGCAGCCGCGGUAAUACGGAGGAUCCGAGCGUUAUCCGGAUUUAUUGGGUUUAAAGGGUGCGUAGGCGGCCUGUUAAGUCAGGGGUGAAAGACGGUAGCUCAACUAUCGCAGUGCCCUUGAUACUGAUGGGCUUGAAUGUACUAGAGGUAGGCGGAAUGUGACAAGUAGCGGUGAAAUGCAUAGAUAUGUCACAGAACACCAAUUGCGAAGGCAGCUUACUAUGGUAUGAUUGACGCUGAGGCACGAAAGCGUGGGGAUCAAACA